RNAcentral lists this ribosomal RNA (525 nucleotides) under Attalus analis. RNAcentral describes it as "partial 16S ribosomal RNA". The stretch from base 388 to 525 matches the Rfam family "Bacterial large subunit ribosomal RNA", at positions 2473 to 2610 of the family's 2925-position model. Lineage: Eukaryota; Metazoa; Arthropoda; Insecta; Coleoptera; Melyridae. The record is from RNAcentral.
CAUGUCCUUUUGAUUAUAAUUUAAGGUCUGAUCUGCCCACUGAUAAUUUAAAUGGCCGCAGUAAUUUGACUGUGCAAAGGUAGCAUAAUCAUUAGUUUUUUAAUUGAAAGCUGGUAUGAAUGAUUGGAUGAGAUAAAAACUGUCUCAAAUUUAUUAAAAUAAAAAUUUAUUUUUAAGUUAAAAAGCUUAAAUUUUAUUAAAAGACGAGAAGACCCUAUAGAGUUUUAUAUAAAAUAGUAAAUUUAAACUAUUAUUUAAAAAGUUUUAUGUAUUAAUUUAUAUUUUAUUGGGGUGAUAAAAAAAUUUAAUAAACUUUUUUUUUAUUUAUACAUAAAUAAAUGAUUAAUUGAUCCAUUAUUAAUGAUUAAAAGAUUAAAUUACCUUAGGGAUAACAGCGUAAUUUUUUUUGAGAGUUCUAAUCGAAAAAAGAGAUUGCGACCUCGAUGUUGGAUUAAAGUUAAUUUUUGGUGUAGUCGCUAAAAUUAUUAAGUCUGUUCGACUUUUAAAACUUUACAUGAUCUGAGU